Molecule: long non-coding RNA, 1318 nt
Organism: Cercocebus atys (sooty mangabey)
Lineage: Eukaryota; Metazoa; Chordata; Mammalia; Primates; Cercopithecidae
Exons: 6
Source: RefSeq, a predicted model, not a curated record
AGUCGAAAGCCCUGGCUGCAGCGCCUUCUCAUCUUGUUGUAUUUAAGGGGGCUGUCCGCCAAGUGUCUGGGACCCUUGCUUGCUCACCCACAAGCACAUAGCCUGUGAGCCUGUGCCCCUCCUGCGGCCAGGAGGGCAGUGGAUUCUGAGUUUUAAGACAACCAAACAGUAUAGGAAGCAAAAUGAUGUUUUGAAAAAAAAAAACUUUUUAAUCAUGUGUGUUCCUUAGAAGUUCUCACUUUCAUGAAUAAUUUUCCAUAACCUGGAGGGCAUCUCUUUUCCCUCACAAGCCUUUCUAUGUAUGUUCACAUUCACUUAAUCAUUUUUCCAUUUCUUCACCUCCAUGGCUUGCCAAACUAGAUACAUGGGAAUCUUAUCAUUCUUUUCCAUAACCUAAGGAUAUGGAUACUUUCUACUUCCCUCACAUCCUUAAAUUAACCUGCAUGUUGCUAGGAGACCGAGGCAUUGAAAAUGUAGGUUUCGCAAAUAAAGCUAUCAGAAGUGCCUCUCUUGCGACACAUUACUCUUCAUAUCCUUUCUGCCCGGCUCUGUCUCAGUCCCUCUCAUUCAGUUCAGGAUGGCGACAAGCACCCUAAGGCCUCUUCCAUAUUUCAUCACGGUGCCGGGUGCAAAAGAGCACAUGGGUUAUCACGGGAUGAAGAUGAGGCAAUGCCAAAUAUAGUGCUGGGUACAGAGCCUGGAGCAAGGUAUUUCAAGCCUUGUUUUGCAACCGAUAAAAAUGAGACUCAGAGGUGAAUGGCUUCCCAGAGUUUACAAAACUAGUAAAUGGCAGAAUAAAGACCUUCAAUCCAGGUUUCUUGGUUACAAAUGCUGUGCUCUUUCCUCCUGGCCGUGAGUGACUCUCCCUUCUCUGGUUCUCCUCAUGCGAAUCCAAUUAGGCAUCCUGAUUCUGCUCUGUUCUUUCUUUCAUUCAUCCUGAAUGCUUUCCUCAUGCUAAAGUCAUGGGUUGGAGCAGGACACCUCUUCCGUCUACAUCUCUCUCCAGGAAGGGAAGGACUGGACCUUGGAAAAGAAUUCCUUGACUUUGAUGAUUACAAAUGAGACACAAGAGGAGAAUGUAUGCACAGAGCUCCCAAGAAGGAUAGAGGUUCUUCGACGUUUCUCUACAGUGCAGGAGGCUGAAGACAGAUUUUUCUCCUCAUGAAGGAAAAGUUCCCAGUGUUUGGGGCAUGGGGCGGCUUUGGUUAGGCUUCUUUUUUAUUUUUAAGCACAUGGAUUCCUGGUACAGGAUCCUAACCAGUUGAACUGCUAGAAAUUAUUAUAUUCUAUGUACAAGUUCACAGGGGUGAAAAGGAAA